GAUGAACGCUAGCGGCAGGCUUAACACAUGCAAGUCGAGGGGUAACAGGGUAGCAAUACCGCUGACGACCGGCGCACGGGUGAGUAACGCGUAUGCAACCUGCCUAUAACUGGGGAAUAGCUCCCUGAAAGGGGAAUUAACACCGCAUAACACUAUUGAUUCGCAUGGAUUAGUAGUUAAAUGUAGCGAUACAGGUUAUAGAUGGGCAUGCGUGACAUUAGCUAGUUGGUGAGGUAACGGCUCACCAAGGCUACGAUGUCUAGGGGUUCUGAGAGGAAGGUCCCCCACACUGGUACUGAGACACGGACCAGACUCCUACGGGAGGCAGCAGUGAGGAAUAUUGGUCAAUGGGCGCAAGCCUGAACCAGCCAUGUCGCGUGCAGGAAGACUGCCCUAUGGGUUGUAAACUGCUUUUAAGUAGAAGAAACACAUCUACGUGUAGAUGUCUGCCAGUAUACUAUGAAUAAGCAUCGGA
This 475-nucleotide ribosomal RNA is filed under the name uncultured bacterium. RNAcentral describes it as "bacterial SSU rRNA". It matches the Rfam family "Bacterial small subunit ribosomal RNA", at positions 28 to 497 of the family's 1533-position model. The record is from RNAcentral.